GAUGAACGCUAGCUACAGGCUUAACACAUGCAAGUCGAGGGGUAACAAGAGAAAAGCUUGCUUUUCUUGUUGACGACCGGCGCACGGGUGAGUAACGCGUAUCCAACCUGCCUAUAACUAGGGAAUAACCUUGCGAAAGUAAGACUAAUACCCUAUGAUUUCCUUUGAUGACAUCAGAUUCGGAAUAAAGAUUUAUCGGUUAUAGAUGGGGAUGCGUCUGAUUAGCGUGUUGGCGGGGUAACGGCCCACCAAGGCAACGAUCAGUAGGGGUUCUGAGAGGAAGGUCCCCCACAUUGGAACUGAGACACGGUCCAAACUCCUACGGGAGGCAGCAGUGAGGAAUAUUGGUCAAUGGGCGAAAGCCUGAACCAGCCAAGUAACGUGCAGGAUGACGGCCCUAUGGGUUGUAAACUGCUUUUAUACAGGAAUAAAGUUAGCCACGUGUGGUUAUUUGUAGGUACUGUAUGAGUAAGGACCGGCUAAUUCCGUGCCAGCCGCCGCCGUAA
Molecule: ribosomal RNA, 506 nt
Filed under: uncultured bacterium
Lineage: Bacteria
Description: partial 16S ribosomal RNA
Rfam family: Bacterial small subunit ribosomal RNA
Source: RNAcentral